RNAcentral lists this small RNA (1192 nucleotides) under Rattus norvegicus (Norway rat). RNAcentral's name for it is "uncharacterized LOC102554918". The record is from RNAcentral. Lineage: Eukaryota; Metazoa; Chordata; Mammalia; Rodentia; Muridae.
AAGAAAAGAAAAAAAAAAUUCCUGACCGCCAGUGAUUAGGACUUUGGUUUAUGUGAAUUGUAUCUAUCUAUCACCACUCACCAAAUUAGAGACUAAACCAAUAUAUUUUGAAAUAUUUGUGUUUACCAGGCAGGAUGACUCACACCUGUAAUGCUAACCCUUAGCUGAAGUGAGCAGAUAAUAGCCAUGAACGCGAAGUCGGUCUUAGCUACAUAGCAGGCUAUAAGGCUCCAUGAGACCAAGAAAUAUUCUCUGUGCCAGGUAAACCUGACAGCUUCUGCCGACACUGUCUAGGCACCACGUCAACUCAGUGAAGAGGGGGUUUAAAUGUUGACUUACAACGCUGAAGUCUUCAUGCCAGAGAGUUACAUUGUCAAAUUUUGAAUACAAGGAUAAAAUAUGCCCAGUUGUCUGGGGUUGGAAAGCAAGCUACCAUUGCUACAGAAUAGCAUAUGACAGGACUCUCUGCUGUGACAGAAAUAUUCCGGAUCUGUUUCAUUCACUAUGGUAACUGCUGGCUGAGUGUGGCUACUGGACACUUAACAUGUGAUCGGCUUAUGUGAGGAGCUGAACAUUAAUAUUACUGAAAUCUACAGCUAGCUUUGAAUAGUCACGCACGGGCAGAAUAGAGGGCGAUCAGCCAGUGAUCUCAGUGAUCUUAAUCGGAGAAGGAGUCCCCUCCCUCAGGCCUAAGCUGUCUCUGGUCACUGACCCUGCAGAAGUCUACAAGCCUUUAAGUAUCAUCGCUGAAAUAAAGGAUUGAUAGAUGCCCAGCCCAUGGCACAGGAGCAUGGAUCUCACUCAGAUUGGUCAGGAGAGAAGGGCAAGACCUCCAUUCAGCUUUGGACCAUUGUUCUGUGUGGAGAACUUCAUUUUCAGUGGCCGUAAGGCUGGAGGAGUAAAGGGAGGUUUCUAUAAAGGGUAUCCCUGACUCCCGAGAUGGUUAUAGUUUCCCAGAGAGACAAGAUUCUCAUGUGGUAGGCUAUUAACGUCAACAUCACCCCCUCUGGUCCAGAACCCGCCUCUGCUGUCCUUCCAGCUUCCUGUGUUCUUGGGAACCCGCAAUUGACUUUUAUUUUCUCUGUUAACCCACAAACUCCAUUCUGUCCACUCUGACACAGCACCUCAAAUACUGCAAAAUACCAUUUGUUUGGAGGUAAAGGGUGAAGUCAAAGGCGGCCAUGAUAAUCCU